Dovyalis caffra is the source of this 74-nucleotide non-coding RNA. The record is from the annotation of a GenBank genome assembly. Lineage: Eukaryota; Viridiplantae; Streptophyta; Magnoliopsida; Malpighiales; Salicaceae.
UUCUGGGUAGCGUAGUUGGUUAUCACAUUAGUCUCACGCGCUAAAAGGCCUCGGUUCGAAUCCAAGCUUAGAGA